This 73-nucleotide transfer RNA is filed under the name Acidobacteriota bacterium. RNAcentral describes it as "Acidobacteria bacterium tRNA-Val". It matches the Rfam family "tRNA". From Rfam's summary of the family: Transfer RNA (tRNA) molecules are approximately 80 nucleotides in length. RNAcentral also lists the same sequence under 1 other name. The record is from RNAcentral. Lineage: Bacteria; Pseudomonadati; Acidobacteriota.
GGGCGGUUAGCUCAACUGGAAGAGCACUCGGUUUACACCCGAGAGGUCGUAGGUUCGAACCCUUCACCGCCCA